GGAAUGNUCUCUGGGUGGCGAGUGGCGGACGGGUGAGGAAUACAUCGGAAUCUACCUUUUCGUGGGGGAUAACGUAGGGAAACUUACGCUAAUACCGCAUACGACCUACGGGUGAAAGUGGGGGACCGCAAGGCCUCACGCGAUUAGAUGAGCCGAUGUCCGAUUAGCUAGUUGGCGGGGUAAUGGCCCACCAAGGCGACGAUCGGUAGCUGGUCUGAGAGGAUGAUCAGCCACACUGGAACUGAGACACGGUCCAGACUCCUACGGGAGGCAGCAGUGGGGAAUAUUGGACAAUGGGCGCAAGCCUGAUCCAGCCAUACCGCGUGGGUGAAGAAGGCCUUCGGGUUGUAAAGCCCUUUUGUUGGGAAAGAAAUNGAGAUUUNAUCCAGGCUCAGCGGUCA
Molecule: ribosomal RNA, 401 nt
Filed under: Pseudoxanthomonas sp. '13.5 MW-17'
Lineage: Bacteria; Pseudomonadati; Pseudomonadota; Gammaproteobacteria; Lysobacterales; Lysobacteraceae
Description: bacterial SSU rRNA
Rfam family: Bacterial small subunit ribosomal RNA
Source: RNAcentral